This 238-nucleotide long non-coding RNA is filed under the name Citrus sinensis (sweet orange). Its description in RNAcentral is "long non-coding RNA (CSIN_LNC005760)". Lineage: Eukaryota; Viridiplantae; Streptophyta; Magnoliopsida; Sapindales; Rutaceae. The record is from RNAcentral.
CCAAGAGUAAAUGGUUGACAAUCUGCAGCUUAAUGAUUCAGGCGGCAAAGAGCAGACAUGGGGCGGGAGUGAUAGAGCAGCAGUUGGCGUCGAGCGGCGCCGGUGACAAGCGAGUAGUGCGGCGGAGAGCCGGAUUAUUUUGGUGAUGGGUAGCUGCGGCGGGCGGCCAAACACACAGGGGACUUCUUUUUUAUGUGGGGUUUGGCUACAAUGCCGUUGGCAUUGUACCCGGCACCAU